RNAcentral lists this long non-coding RNA (3612 nucleotides) under Homo sapiens (human). Its description in RNAcentral is "non-protein coding lnc-DGCR6-6:20". The record is from RNAcentral. Lineage: Eukaryota; Metazoa; Chordata; Mammalia; Primates; Hominidae.
GCAGUCCAUCUCCAGAACUCUUUUCAUCCUGCAGAUCUGAAACUCUAGCCCACAAAACACCAACUCCACUCCCCAGCCACUGGUGCCCACCGUUGUUUCUGUCUCUGAAUUUGACUCCUCUAGGGACCUCCCAUAAGUGGAAUCAUACAAUAUUUGUCCUUUUGUGCUUGGCUUAUUUCACUGAGCGUAAUGUUCUCUAGGUUCACCUGUGUUGUAGCAAACGUCAGACUUUCCCUCCUUUUGAAGGCUGAGUAAUAUUCUGUUGUGUGGAUGGAGCACGCAUUGUUUAUCCACUCACCUGUUGACGCAUGCCUGGGUCGUUUCCACCUUUCGGCCUGUGUGAAUGGUGCUGCUCUGAACAGGGGUGAAGACGUAUCUGGGCGUCUGCUUUCAGUUCUUUUGGGUGUAUACCCAGAAGUGGGCUUGCUGGGUCACGUGGUAAAUCCUGUGGUUGAUUUUUUGAGGACGCACCAUACUGUUUUCGGUGGGACAUCUGUUGGGUUUUGAGAAGCACCUGCUGGCACUGAGAGCUGUCUUGGGGAACACAGGUGCUCCUGCCGGAGUCCUCACGCUCUGCUCACGUUGCAGAAGGCCCCCUGGUAAGGCCAGCCAGCCGGAGGACCACCCCGCAGACCACACGCCCAGGGCCUGGCACCGAGGGGGAGGCCCCGAUCAGCAGGUGAAAGCGACACCCUGAUGACACUGGCUAGUUCACCUUCACUCUGGUCAUCGUUUACUGUACCCCGGGGCAGCUCCCGCCUGAGCCCUAUGACCCCAACCGCCGCAGCCUCUGGCUGCCUCACUGGCCCAUCAUUAAUACGUCGAUGGUGAGCGCACUGGUGUACAGCGAGGGGGCUCCACUUCCGAGACCCCUGGAGAGGCCCGUCCUGGUGGAGUUCACCCUGCUGGAGAUGGAGAAGCGAACCAAGCCUGUCUGUGUGUUCUGGAACCAUUCCCUGGCGUAAAUGUGAUGCCGGGAGUUCUGCAUCUUCAUGUGAGGGCUUUGCCAAGACACAGAGAACCCGCAGGGUUGUUGGCUCAGCGGCAGAUCGUCCCACGGGGACAGUCUCUUGUGGUCUGUGUCUCCCCCUUCAGCCCCCUGUGGGGCAGUGAGCCUCCUGCUCUGCUUCUGUGGGUGCAUCAGAGCCCCCCCAGAUGCCCACACGCAGACGCGCACAGGCCUGCACGUGGAAACACAGACAUGCGCACACGCAGGCCCACACACAGACGCACACAGAGCUGCACGUGGAGACACGUGCGCACACGCAGGCCCACACGCAGGCCCACACACAGGUGCACGCGGACCUGCACGUGGAGACACAGAUGUGUGCACAUGCAGGCCCACACACAGGUGAGCGUGGACCUGUGUGAACAGAUGCGCGCAGACCUGCACGUGGAGACACAGACAUGCAGGCGCACAAAGAGAUCCCUCAAGGCUGACACCCAGGAAGGGGCCUCUCACUUGUGGGACUCCCGAGAUGCAGUGGCCAACACGAGUGUAGUGCCCAGUUCACUGCUGGAUAAGACAGAGGCCUGUUCUGGUCACACAUGGGAGGCAGAACCCAGAGACUGGGCCCAGGAGCCCUUCUGCUGACAGUGGGAACUCCCAGCUACGUGUGGGGGUCCCCAUACCAGACAAAGGUCCCUGACCUUAGUCUUGCCCGAGAGGCCGACACAGCCCAGCUUUGGGGUCUGGCUUUACCCACAAGAGGCCACACCUUGCCACAGCACUGUUUAUCUGGCCUGUUUCAGAAGCACCGUCAGAGUGGCGAAGGCAGGAGGUGGUGCACGAGAGUCUACGUUCUAGCAUCCAUUCAAGUGAGGGAAAGGCGUUUCGUACUUAGAAAAAUGCAAAAUUAAUGAUUCUCACCCACACAUGAGACUGUGGAUUCACCCAUGUAUGAGAUAGUGGAUUCAGAGCCAUGCUGUGGCUCUCAUCUGCUGGGAGCCAGUAGUGUUUGUGCUUUGGUUUUGCUUUUUUAGCUACAUGGUUUAUGUGAGGUGCGGACUUACUUGAGUUGCUCUGUCUUUACAGGGAGCUUGCUUUUUCUCUGCUGGUUUGUUUUCACUUUUGCUGUCUCUGUUUAGAAGAAAACAUUAGAACUGGGGUGUGGUGGAAGGAUGGGAGCACAAUCUGGGAGGGGAAGACCUGCUCUCUCUCCACAUACCAGGAGGGAGUGGCAGGAAGGGGAGACACUGUGCCGGACUCAGGGAGUCAAGAGCGUGAGCACCCCCAGGCUUCAAUCUGCUGAACGUUGUGCAUCUGGGGGCGCCCGUGCAGCAGGAACACUCUCCCCAUCACAAUUCCUCUGGGCACAGUGGAGAGCCAUGAGUGGGGGCUGUCCUGGGGGCUGCGCUAUGGUGAGUGAGCCCACGCCAGGAGCCAGUUCAGCCCAGCCUCAUUCUUCUCCUGCUUCUUUGCUUUCCAAGUUCUAGUUCAUAAGCAACCAGCACAGUACCUGGAAUGUAAGAGGCGCUUGGCUUAUAAAAGAGAGAAGAAAGGAACCCCUUUCACCACGAGGGACGUCAGGCCCAGCUCUCUGUCCCGGGCAUUCAUCUUUUUUCCGGCAAUUAGCUUCAGCUCUAAUGACCUGCUGUCUGCUUUAUGUUGCACCUAUGAUUUCCAGAUUGUAAAGUUUGUGGCAAAUGUAUUAACGUUCACAUCCCAUUUACAGAUUAGCAAACUAAGGAUCUGAGAGGUUAUGUGAUUUUCCCAGUCUGGCGGAGGGCAGGGCCCUGUCAGAAGCCGAGACACACCUCGUAACAGCUUGUUAUUUGGGGCUUCCCAUCAGUGAGGCAGGAGUCAUAAUGGGGCCCUGGCUUCUGGGCAAUUCCCAUAAAACAUUGUGCCACCUGAAGAUGGAAGUGUCAGAGGAAGGCGAGAUGUUAUUUCUGAAAGCAUCUACCCUCAGAAAGAGACAGAGGAGUGCAUCGCAGCUGUGUGAACCCGGGGUGGUGGUGGUUCCAGCAGCGGGGCACGUGGUGGACGCAAGACGGCCCCGUUUGAGUUUUGCUGCUAGGUGACAUGUAGAACUUGAACUUCAGAGGGUGCUCCUUGGAGGCCCUGAUGAGAGAGACACAGAAGGGAAGGGAGACUGUUCCCAUGGUCCUGCCUCUGCGGCAGCGAGCCUGCUGCUCUUGCAGCUGGGUGGCUGUUCGGUGCAGGGGGCCGGUGAGGAACACGGUGGGGAGCAGCCUGCGAGGGCGCCGGGCUUUCAGCACUCACUAUACCUGCUGUUUGGUUUGGCCAGGAUGGCCUGGGAGUCCCCAGGGCCGGGCAAAGACUGCCCCCAACAGACAUGGGCGGAGGGAACCGUCUCACCCCUGCCUCUUCUCCCUUCUCUACGCAGUGUCAGUGGGACGGGAGGGUGGUCUGCCCGGGGCUUCAAGCUCCUGUCCAGGAACCGGACCCAUGUCGUACGCCAGUGCAGCCACACGGCCAGCUUCGAGGUGCUCAUGGACGUCUCCAGGUGUGAGAUGGGCAUCUUCUUGUGGCCACUAUGCCCGCUGAGCCUACCCCCAAACCUGCCCCUCCUCAAACUAAAUCUUCCAUUCUAAGCGCUUUGAACGAAGCAAAUCAACCAAUUAAAAAAAUAUAUUCCAGGAUUGGCC